This 66-nucleotide transfer RNA is filed under the name Odontobutis sinensis. RNAcentral's name for it is "tRNA-Cys". Lineage: Eukaryota; Metazoa; Chordata; Actinopteri; Gobiiformes; Odontobutidae. The record is from RNAcentral.
GCUCACGAGGUGUUGUACACAUUAGAUUGCAAAUCUUAAAUAGCAGAGUAACCCCUGCCGGGGCUU